Molecule: non-coding RNA, 29 nt
Filed under: Rattus norvegicus (Norway rat)
Lineage: Eukaryota; Metazoa; Chordata; Mammalia; Rodentia; Muridae
Source: RNAcentral
UCUUCAUUUGAUGGUGUUGUGUAAUUGUU